Non-coding RNA from Xenopus tropicalis (tropical clawed frog), 534 nucleotides. The record is from RefSeq and is a predicted model, not a curated record. NCBI's taxonomy places the organism in Eukaryota, Metazoa, Chordata, Amphibia, Anura, Pipidae.
GGGAACCAAUAGGAGAGCAGAGGAGGCGGGAGUUACCAGUUCCUUGCCAGUAUAUAGGUUGGGCGCCCCAGGAAUCCCCAUCCCACAGUUCCUGGCUGAACCCUCACAGGUCCCUGAGCUCCACCUAUUACUGCAGACAUGAAAGUCCUGGCUCUGGUAGUUCUGGUCAUUGCCAUCAGCGGCAUGGAAGCCGGAGUCGUCAGGAGAGAAGUCCCCAGUGUGGAGGAACUGACCAAAUUGAUUCAAACCUGGGCUGAAUAUGCACAGACACAGGCACAGGAAUGGGUGGCCAAGAUCCAAAAUGCCGAUAUCAAUGGCCAGGCAGGGCAAAUCAUGGAAGAAGCCAAAGCUAAACUGGAACCAUUUCAGACCCAAAUGCUAGAACUCUACACCCAGUUCACUGACAAGAAGGCAUAAAUGAAUCGUUCCUGGAAGCCCCUCCCCAAAUCCUACAGACCCCACCCCCACCCUGAUUUUAUUUGGUUACGGUCCAUUCAACUGUUUGUGGUGCAAUAAAAACUCUGUUUCCCAUCA